Non-coding RNA from Python bivittatus (Burmese python), 1965 nucleotides. NCBI's taxonomy places the organism in Eukaryota, Metazoa, Chordata, Lepidosauria, Squamata, Pythonidae. The record is from RefSeq and is a predicted model, not a curated record.
CGUCAAGAUGGAACUGAAAGAUAACAAACAGUAUUUUUGUAUUAGAAUUUUCUUCUGUCUAGAUUCUCUUAGCUGAGAUGUCAGCUUAAGUUGAAAAUAACUAUGUACAUAUGAUUUAAUUUUACAGAUGGCUACGUCCAAAGAAGCUGCAUAGCGCCUGAAGAUGAAGAAAUAUAUGAUGAUAUUGCAGAUGACUGCUUAUAUGACAAUGAUUAGCUCCAGGCCUCAUCUCGGCACAAUCUUCACCUUCUCUGAUUGGUGGAUGCAAGAGAGAAAGUCAUUACUCACAUUCAGGAUUUAUGUGUAUGUACAAAAGACUUGGUUAAGCUAUUCCACCAGUUUCUGGACUGUGAAGCAGGUUUUAUCACAGAAGUAUGAUAACAUUACACAAAUAUGCUCUUGAUUGCAACCAUCAGCUAAAUCUUCAGAUCAGGACAUUGUUAUAUCAUUGGGGGAAAACAUGCCAGGUUUCUUUUGCAAAUCCCACCAACACAAUCCAGAAUAUUCUCUUUACAAUGCUAGAGAUAAUAUCAGCAACCUUUAUUUGCCCCUUCUCGUAUUCAUAUAAUGGGCUGUGGAAAUGUCCCAGCGUGCCCACAGACAUGGUCCCUCUACUUCAUCUGUUCUACGUUAUUUUUAUCUACCUUUCAGUACACAAAAUCAUAGAGUUGGAAGCAGUCAUCUAGUCCAACUUGCGACUGAACUCACUAUGAAGUCUGUCCUAAUAUUCAGGCAGAAUCUGCCUUCCUAUGACUCAAAAAUGGACAGCCAAUAUCCUGCAGUUACACCUCUGAAAUUCAGUGGGGAAAUGGUUGAAUUUCAGCAGCAAGGUUUCAACUUGUUUUUCACAUUUGGGAUGGUUUUAAGAGUGUAAAUGAAAGGGGGUUAUCUCCAGGAGGUCUCUUCUUCCCAUCUCCACCUUUAAAACCCACCAAAAAGCUGAAGAAUGAGCCAUGCCUACUGUGGAUCUUUGGAAAAUUGAGGUGUGGCCAUUCAUUCUUCAAACAUUGUUCAUCUCUGUCUGUAAGUUAAGGUUAUUACUCCAUUGUUCACUGGGAUGGUAGAGAACAGAACGUGACUUUCUUCAGCUCAACAUCCCUUCCAGUAUUUGAAGUAGUAUCAUUUCCCCCCAGUUCUCUCACAGUCUCUCAGAACUACAAAAUCCCUUCAAAAUGCUUGUUGUCCUUUUGUACCUAUCUGGGUUUCUCUGAAUCUUUCUUAAAAAGUGGUUCUCAGAACUGGACAGAAUGCACAAAGUUUGGUCUGACCAAUGCAGAAUAUAAUGAAACAGUUCCUGCCUUUUGGACAGUCUACUUCUAUAUAUGUGGCCUAACAUUACAUUUUUCUUAGCAGAUUCCAAGAUUAUUUUUAUACAUACUCAUAGAAAACCAAUUAUUCCCCAUUCUAUACUUAUGCACUUGAUUUUUUUUCCCAAGUAAAGAGUUUUGUACUUAUCUCAAUUAAAUGUCAUUCUUUUUUCUUUCAAUUUACAUCCUGCCCUGAAUUAUAAAACAGGAUGCAUUAAUUAGCAAUUUUGUUUGCAAACAGCAGAUAACAUGUUACCUCACCAAGGAACUGAUAGUAUAAUAGCUUUAGUUAUAGAUAUCUGGUAUAAGCUAGGACUAUACAUGUUGUACUGUCAUUGUACAAAUGUCAGUAAUUGUGUAUUAUGCGUCAUUUACAUUGUAUAACUGAGGCAAGUGACAUCAUUUAUGUCACUUGUCUUGUGUAAUGUCAUUUCUUGUGCUGUCAUUUGUGAUAUGAUGUGACCUCACUUGCCCUCCAUGGAUGCCUAUGGCUUCACUUCAAAUGCAGUCAUCAUAGUGAUCCUGAGAAAAGAUGUAGCUCCUUUAAUGAGCUUUUGGCCAGUCUUGCAUUCUUGUUCCUGUGUACACUCCCAAAGAACUUUUUGGAACGGAAACUUCAUCAUUGCACACAUAUACAUACAUGGGUAGAUUACUAAUU